RNAcentral lists this ribosomal RNA (305 nucleotides) under uncultured bacterium. Its description in RNAcentral is "bacterial SSU rRNA". It matches the Rfam family "Bacterial small subunit ribosomal RNA", at positions 333 to 636 of the family's 1533-position model. The record is from RNAcentral.
UUUCCCCUACGGGGGGCAGCAGUGAGGAAUAUUGGUCAAUGGUCGGGAGACUGAACCAGCCAAGCCGCGUGAGGGAGGAAGGUACAGAGUAUCGUAAACCUCUUUUGUCAGGGAACAAAGGCGGGGACGUGUCCCCGGAUGAGUGUACCUGAAGAAAAAGCAUCGGCUAACUCCGUGCCAGCAGCCGCGGUAAUACGGAGGAUGCGAGCGUUAUCCGGAUUUAUUGGGUUUAAAGGGUGCGCAGGCGGAUUUUUAAGUCAGCGGUCAAAUCGUGGGGCUCAACCCCAUCCAGCCGUUGAAACUGG